UCUGUACGGCAAAACCUAAAAUGGCGGCAUUGCUUAAGCAACAUAACGUUGUUUUUAAGUAUGAUGUUGUGUUUUAUCUAGUUCACUAGAUUUGAGUUUACUGUUAACUUCCUGUAUAUAUUCAAACCGAUUUGGUUUAUCGGCCGCUCUGAAUAAGAGCGGCUUUUUUAU
RNAcentral lists this non-coding RNA (171 nucleotides) under Chelonobacter oris. RNAcentral describes it as "GcvB RNA". It matches the Rfam family "GcvB RNA". From Rfam's summary of the family: The gcvB gene encodes a small untranslated RNA involved in expression of the dipeptide and oligopeptide transport systems in Escherichia coli. Included several unknown homologues in alignment (Bateman A pers obs). Lineage: Bacteria; Pseudomonadati; Pseudomonadota; Gammaproteobacteria; Pasteurellales; Pasteurellaceae. The record is from Rfam by way of RNAcentral.